AACGAACGCUGGCGGCAUGCCUAACACAUGCAAGUCGAACGGAUGCAGCAAUGCAUCAGUGGCAGACGGGUGAGUAACACGUGGGAAUCUACCCAGUAGCCUGGAAUAACCGCGGGAAACUGCGGCUAAUACCGGAUACGCCCCUCGGGGGAAAGGAGCAAUCCACUAUUGGAGGAGCCCGCGUCCGAUUAGCUAGUUGGUGAGGUAACGGCUCACCAAGGCGAUGAUCGGUAGCUGGUUUGAGAGAACGACCAGCCACACUGGGACUGAGACACGGCCCAGACUCCUACGGGAGGCAGCAGUGGGGAAUAUAGGACAAUGGGGGAAACCCUGAUCCAGCAAUGCCGCGUGGGUGAUGAAGGCCUUCGGGUUGUAAAGCCCUUUUGGCGGGGACGAUGAUGACGGUACCCGCAGAAGAAGCCCCGGCUAACUUCGUGCCAGCAGCCGCAGUAA
This 453-nucleotide ribosomal RNA is filed under the name uncultured bacterium. Its description in RNAcentral is "partial 16S ribosomal RNA". It matches the Rfam family "Bacterial small subunit ribosomal RNA", at positions 29 to 523 of the family's 1533-position model. The record is from RNAcentral.